Molecule: ribosomal RNA, 653 nt
Filed under: uncultured earthworm cast bacterium
Lineage: Bacteria
Description: bacterial SSU rRNA
Rfam family: Bacterial small subunit ribosomal RNA
Source: RNAcentral
UGCAAGUCGAGCGAGACUCUUCGGAGUCUAGCGGCGGACGGGUGAGUAACACGUGGGCAACCUGCCUGUAAGACUGGGAUAACACCGGGAAACCGGUGCUAAUACUGGAUAAUCCUUUUCCUCUCAUGAGGAAAAGCUGAAAGACGGUUUCGGCUGUCACUUACAGAUGGGCCCGCGGCGCAUUAGCUAGUUGGUGAGGUAACGGCUCACCAAGGCAACGAUGCGUAGCCGACCUGAGAGGGUGAUCGGCCACACUGGGACUGAGACACGGCCCAGACUCCUACGGGAGGCAGCAGUAGGGAAUCUUCCACAAUGGACGAAAGUCUGAUGGAGCAACGCCGCGUGAGCGAUGAAGGCCUUCGGGUCGUAAAGCUCUGUUGUUAGGGAAGAACAAGUACCGGAGUAACUGCCGGUACCUUGACGGUACCUAACCAGAAAGCCACGGCUAACUACGUGCCAGCAGCCGCGGUAAUACGUAGGUGGCAAGCGUUGUCCGGAAUUAUUGGGCGUAAAGCGCGCGCAGGCGGUCCUUUAAGUCUGAUGUGAAAGCCCACGGCUCAACCGUGGAGGGUCAUUGGAAACUGGGGGACUUGAGUGCAGAAGAGGAAAGCGGAAUUCCACGUGUAGCGGUGAAAUGCGUAGAGAUGUGGAGG